Molecule: unclassified non-coding RNA, 4775 nt
Filed under: Leishmania donovani
Lineage: Eukaryota; Euglenozoa; Kinetoplastea; Trypanosomatida; Trypanosomatidae
Description: gene:LdHU3.09.0200(CDS-product:kinesin_putative)
Source: RNAcentral
UGACGGAUUUGGUGAGCGGACUCUCCACAUGUCGAGUGCGCGUUGUCGCACGUGGAUCAGCAGACGUGCACACAAGCCAGCGCUCACCUACACAUCGACAAGAAGUCACACACGUAGGCAGCGCAGCGGGAGCUCCGACACUUAAUUCUUGCGACGCAAAACAUACGCACACACACACACACGCCACAAGAUGACAGAGCGCAUUAUGGUUGCCGUGCGAGUUCGUCCAUUUCUGCCGCACGAGAAUGAGGCCAGCUGCCUGGAGGUGUCGGAGAACCAAGUCGCCGUUGGCGCCGGACGCCCCUUUGUCUUCGACUGUGUCUUCGACGAAAAGGCCUCGUCCGACGACGUCUACGUUGCACUUGGACAGCCGCUAGCAGACUCCUUUCUGAACGGCUUUCACGCGUCCACGAUUGCGUAUGGGCAGACCGGCUCUGGCAAGACGUUCACCAUGGCCACGCUACUCCACGACACCGUGCAGGAAGUUUUUUGCCGCCUCACAGAGGAUUCGGAGGCGACGCAGAGCAACGGACGCUCCAGCUCCGCCCUCACCAGUUUGAGCACCACGCUACGCACGAGCACGACCUUCACCAUGUCACUCAGCGUCCUGGAGGUGUACAAUGAGUCCAUCGGCGACCUGCUUGCCGCGCUGGUGCCGCAGCCCCCGAGGCAACAUACGGCGACGGUGUUGAACGGCACCGUCCUGCAAGCCUUAGAUACUCCAAGACGGCUGUUAGCGCAGGGCUGCGGCCCACUUCCAAAUCGGAGGUCGUUGCAGCGACGCGCCUAUGGGCCGACUAGCUCGUUCCCUCGAAACUCUCUCGCCCUACGCGAGGAUCCACAUGGGGGCGUGUAUGUGGCGGGUCUCACAGAGGCGCCAGUGCGCAGUGAAGCAGAGAUGCUCGCGCUGAUCGACAGCGCCAUUGAGAAUCGAAAGACGGCCUCGACACUAAAGAAUCCAAAAAGCUCGCGCUCGCACUGCGUCAUCACGCUCACGUUGCAGCGACGCGGUUUGUGCUCGCGCUGCUGCUUUGUCGAUUUAGCCGGGAUUGAGCGCCUGAAGUCUCGCGGAGUGGCCGGUCCGUCCGGCAGACCUGGUGGCCCAGCAAGUCUCGUCGGGGCGAGUCUGCCGUCAUGCCGCACCCUUUCCGAGCGCAUGCGAGAAGGCAUCAACAUCAAUAGUGGGCUGCUGGCUCUGGGCAACGUCAUUGUUGCGCUGUGCGAGCGAAAGCCGUACGUGCCGUACCGCUCCUCCAAGCUGACGCGCCUGCUGCAGCCGAUGCUCAGUGGAAACGCCCGAACGGCGAUUGUCGCCUGCAUCUCUCAGCUUGCGUCGUCGAUGGAGGAGACGCUGAACACGCUCAAGUACGCUGACCGCGCGAAGCGCAUUCAUAUCCACCCGCACCUGGCCGUUGCGGAAGUGACGACGUCCGUGGAUGCCCGGCAAACGAUUCUGCUGCUGCGUGAACAGCUGGAGGACGCGCAGCGCCGCUUAGUGAUCGCCACCGCCGCUGGCGCAGGCACGCGGAACCCCGCUCGGUCGCCUUCGGCAUCCCUCAUGCGGGAGGUGAAGCACCUACGCGAGCUCCUGUGCCAGGAGCGUCAGUUGACGAAGCGACUUGAGAACGACGUGCUCAGUGCUAAGUGCAUCGCCAUGGCCGAAGUGGAGAAGCGCAAGGCUCUGGAGGUGCGAGUCGCGCAGCUCGAGGCAGCGAGCGCUGCUGACCCGAAGGCGAAAGAGGCAGGGUGCACCGAGGCCAGCGCUGACGGUGACACGGGGAAAUCGGCCAGCCCUUUGCUCAACCUCCGCAGUUGCCUCGCGACAGACAUGACGUGCCUCCAGCAGCUGGAGGAAGAGCGGGAGGCGCUAGCGGCGAUGCCGGCUCAGAAGGUGGGGGACACGGUUCGGCUCGAGGCAACCCUUGUGGAGAAUGGAAACUGCGGUGCUGACAACCUCGCUGCCACCUUGACCGCUAGCGCGGACGACGACUCCAACGUGGUGACGCUCGCAGAGGACAUUGCUGCCCAGAAAGGUCGAGUUGCGCAGCUGCAGAUGGAAAACGGCGACGCCUCUGCACAACUCGUGCAGCGCGAGAAGCUGUGGUGCACCCUCAGUAGCCAGGCGCACCCGUGUGGAGAGCUACGCAAGGCGGAGGCCCAGCUGGAGAAGUCCGAGGUGGCGCUUAAGCGGGGAAAGCAGGAAAAAGAGAAGCUGCGCGCCGCCUCCGGGGAUCACCUCCGCCGCGCUAGGGAGAAGUCUGUGGACUACCGCGGCCGCGUCAAGGAGUCGGCGCGGCACGUGCGUGCGCGCCAGGCGGAUCUCGAAAGCACCCGCCAGCUGCAAGAAAAGUUGGUGGAGCUGCAGGCGGAGGUGUUCCGGCAGCGGCUGUGUGCGCGUAAAACUCGGAAGGCGUCUUGGAAGCUCAAUGGUGCCCAUCAGCAGGAGGUGGAGCAGUUUCAGAAGCAGCUGCAGCUGAUAAGCACACAGACGACGUCUCCGAGUCAACGCACGAAGCUCAGAGGUGCUGCCAUUGUGAAGGAGCGCAGUCAGCUGGCAGGUCAGCAGGUGCAGAGGUCUCAGCAAGAGGUGCCUUCCCCCGUGCGUCUUUGCCACCUGUCACCUGAGAAGACACUGUCUCCGAUGCUGUCCUCCUCCUCCGCCAAAGUCAGUCCCCGAUCGCCUGCGCUCGGUAAAACCUCGCCGCACAUCGUCAAGGCUCGCAAGAACUUCCACAUGUCAUCGUCUUGGUCGGGAUUUCAUGCGCAUGGGCUUCACAGUAGCAUCGAUGGUGCCCUGCAGAGCUCAUGCGCCGGCGACGCGACGCAGACGACCAUCAAGUGCGAGCUGCAAGGCUUGGAGCAAAUACAGAAGGAGCUGGCCAAGCUACUGGUGUAUCGCCGCGCCCUGCUGACCGCGCAAGCCGUUGAUGCAUCCAAGUGGCACCGCGCUAAGGAGGGCUUUGCGCGGCGACUCUCACAGGUUCGCGCUGCGCUGCAGUCCACCGAGCCGGGCCAGCGCGAGCGCACGGCUCUUCUCAAGGAGCAAAGCAGCAUGGAGGAGCAGCUUCGACAGCUGCAAGCGCUCCACCACAUGCUCGCCGACCCUGCGCAGCAGCUGGCUGAGCUCGACAGCCGUAUCGAGGACCUGAACAGGGCGCACAGGCUUUACACGCAGCGCUUUCGCCAACUGCAGCGCUCGGUGCCGAAGCCGCGCGGGGGCGGUGGGGUGGUGUCGGCGAGGGAGAAGCAUCAGCCGUCUGUGCGCCACAUGCGCGCGGCAUCUGCAAGGUACGCCGCUGCCGGCACGUCAGCCCCCCACACACCGGUGGCAUCGACGCGAGGAAACAACGGAAACAUGCGGGCAUAUGUGACGGGGUCGAAGCAGCAGGUCAUGCAUCGAGCUGAGGAGUCCCGCUCGUUGCGUGCACAAGAGCUACAUGCGUAGUGUUCGUGCGUGUGUACGCACGUUCCGUGGCGCGCGGUGGGUGUGGGCGAUGGCGAGGGAGUGGAAAGUGCAACGCGUAUCUCCAGACCUGAACACCGUGUUUCCCUUUUCUGGCUGUUGCGGCACGACGUCGAGCUCCCUCGUCAUAGCAGCAGCAGCGACGUUUGGAGAAGGGGUAAAGGGCGUUAAGGGCUCACGAAUCAGCACACCGAUGUGCACAUGCAUGCUCCAAGCAGUGCGUGCAUCGGUGUCGCCCCCCCCUUCUCCCACCCCUCUCUUUGUGUGUGUGUGUAUUAUUAUUAUUUUUUGUGUUUUUUUUUCCCUUGCAGCCAUCGCUGCCGCUUUCUGCUUCUCGUUAUUAUGAUGAUGAUAUGCUCGCUGUUGAUCGCUUUCCUUUCUUCGUGUUUGGGAGGAGGAGGAGGAGAGGGGCUUCCCCAUCCCUACCUCCAUGUCUCCCCCUCCCUCCUUCCCACACACAUACACACACACGCAUGUGUCUCUGUGCCCCGUGUUAUGACGCGCCCUGAGGGGGAGGGGAGGGGGAGACACGGAGGAGGGUAACUUACCGUGUUUUCGCGGGUGUCUAUGCGUCUAUUUGUUGGCUUGCUCGUGGGAGGAUGGACACGUGGAACAUGUGUGAGAGAGGGGGAAAGCGGUGAAAAACACGCAGUUUACACUGUUGCUGCCUCCAUCCGUCCUACAUGCUUUCUGUGAGCUCGCUUGUGUGUUCCUUCAUGGUUUUGAGUCCGUUGUGCGAUGGGUAGGUCGUUACAUAUAUUUGUGUAUGUGCGCGUACCUGCGUCCGUGUGUACUUGGGUGUCUACAGGUCCGCUUGGGGGAGUGUUUACCACCGCUGCCGGUGACUCUCACGCACACACUCUUUCUCCCCCUCACGUCCGCUGAUUUGCUUGCAAAAUGCUUGAGUGAAAAAGCUUAAGGAAAAGAAAGAAGAUGCACAGGCUCGGCAUCCGCCACCCAUGCUGCCGCCGCCGUUCUUCACCAAGACAAGCUUGCAUGGGUAUGUGUGCGUGUGUCGGGAGGCGAGGAGGGGGGGUCUGCUCCCAUCACCUGACCCCACCCCCUGCCUCUCCCUCCUCCUCCUAUUCGUCCACUCCCCCCUCCCUGCACCCUCCGCAUUAUGCGCAUGUGUUUGUCUCUCUCUCGCUUGGUCUGUUGCGCAUGUCAUGCAGCUUCACGUGUACAGUCCCGGCUCUCGCUCUCAUGGUCGGCACCGGCGCUGCUCAAUGUCGUGAACAAAAACAACAGCUAACCCAAGAAAUAAAAAGACGAGAGGCGUAUGUUGAUGGUCUAUGCGUGGUGAGGGAGCGGC